Molecule: long non-coding RNA, 510 nt
Organism: Talpa occidentalis (Iberian mole)
Lineage: Eukaryota; Metazoa; Chordata; Mammalia; Eulipotyphla; Talpidae
Exons: 3
Source: RefSeq, a predicted model, not a curated record
UUCAAAAUGACUCAGACACAAAGGGAAUUUGUUGACCUACACAGUUGAUAAGUCCAGAAGUGGCUCUCACAUACAUAUAGCAAAACUGGAUCCAAGAGCUCACUGUCACAACAGAGGCCACUCACAUUCCUUGGCUGGUGACUUCUUUUUCCAUUCGAAGCCAGUCAUGAAUGGUUGGGUCUUUUGAUAUCACUUCACCUUGACAGUGACUCUUCUGCCUCUGACUUCCACAUUGAAGGACCUUCAUGACUAUACUGGAUCCACUUGGAUAAUCCAAGAUAAUCUCUGUGUUUCAAGAACACUGAAGAGCCCUUAAUGUGCUAAUAUGCACUGCAAUGCACUGCCAUACUCCAAGUGGUGGCUACAGAAAACAGUAAAUCCACCUGAAUGUGGCAUCAUUGAAAAGGAUGGUGAAAUUAGGGUUCCAUGUUGUUAGAAAUAGUGUUACAAACCAGUGUGUGAUGGUAGGGCAUGCCAAAGAUCUAAUCUUGAUGUUCCCCAAAGCAUUAA